CCUACGGGAGGCAGCAGUGAGGAAUCUUGGUCAAUGGGCGUAAGCCUGACCCAGCAAAGUCGCGUGAGUGAUGAAGGUUCUAUGAAUCUUAAACCUCUUUUAUAAGGGAGUACAGUUCUGGACGUGUCUCUUUUUGUAUUUACCUUAUGUAUAAGGAUCGGCUAACUCCAUGCCAGCAGCCGCGGUAAUACGUUGGGUACGAGCGUUAUCCGGAUUUAUUGGGUUUAGAGUGUGCGUAGGCGGUCUUUUAAGUCAGCGGUGAAAGUCUGCGGCUCAACCAUAGAAUGGACGUGGAAACUGGGAGGCUUGAGGAUGUUUGAGGAAGGUGGAAUGCGAGGUGUAGCGGUGAAAUGCUUAGAGAUCACGCAGAACACCGAUGGCGAAGGCGGCCUGCAAAGCCAUGACUGACGCUGAUGUACGAAAGCGUGGGGAUCAAACAGGAUUAGAUACCCUGGUAGUC
This 460-nucleotide ribosomal RNA is filed under the name uncultured bacterium. RNAcentral describes it as "partial 16S ribosomal RNA". It matches the Rfam family "Bacterial small subunit ribosomal RNA", at positions 338 to 795 of the family's 1533-position model. The record is from RNAcentral.